Molecule: long non-coding RNA, 377 nt
Organism: Rhincodon typus (whale shark)
Lineage: Eukaryota; Metazoa; Chordata; Chondrichthyes; Orectolobiformes; Rhincodontidae
Exons: 3
Source: RefSeq, a predicted model, not a curated record
CACUUGUGGAGUCAACUUGCUUUUCAAUUAUAAGGAUCAGCAGAAAAGGGAGAGGCUAAAUAAAGCAGUGAAAAAACAUCAGAAGGAAAUUCUGCACUAUCGUUCAACAGCUCAAAUGAACUACAGCUCUGUUUCCCUGGCAACAAGCAGAUUCAGGAACAAGAACCUGAUCAAGAGACCUUUUCAAGAUCCUCAAAAGAAAACAUUUAGUGGAGACCUCCUUGAUAAACAUUCCAAAUGGUUUACAGAAGAAAGACAGGCUUUCACUCCAAGAAUAUUGAAGAAUAGAGCAACAUCAUUCCUUUUGAAGUACAAGUAUUAUACAGCACCAAAAAAGAUGCAAGACAAUUCAAAUGUAACUCCAACAUGCAACAGGA